UACGUAGGCAGCAAGCGUUGUUCGGAGUUACUGGGCGUAAAGGGUGCGUAGGCGGCUUCUUAAGUCUGGUGUGAAAUCUCCCGGCUCAACUGGGAGGGUGCGCCGGAUACUGGAGGGGCUAGAGUGUGGGAGAGGAAAGUGGAAUUCCUGGUGUAGCGGUGAAAUGCGUAGAUAUCAGGAGGAACACCGGUGGUGUAAACGGCUUCUGGACCAUAACUGACGCUGAGGCACGAAAGCGGUGGGUAGCAAACAGGG
Molecule: ribosomal RNA, 255 nt
Filed under: uncultured bacterium
Lineage: Bacteria
Description: partial 16S ribosomal RNA
Rfam family: Bacterial small subunit ribosomal RNA
Source: RNAcentral